RNAcentral lists this ribosomal RNA (490 nucleotides) under uncultured bacterium Riz1016. RNAcentral describes it as "bacterial SSU rRNA". It matches the Rfam family "Bacterial small subunit ribosomal RNA", at positions 8 to 476 of the family's 1533-position model. The record is from RNAcentral.
AGAGUUUGAUCCUGGCUCAGAAUCAACGCUGGCGGCGUGCCUAACACAUGCAAGUCGAACGCGAAAGUCCCGAAAGGGAUAAGUAGAGUGGCAAACGGGUGAGUAACACGUGGGUGACCUGCCUUCGAGCGGGGGAUAACGUCCCGAAAGGGACGCUAAUACCGCAUAACAUCCUGCCUUUGAAGAGGCGGUGAUCAAAGCUGGGGAUCGCAAGACCUAGCACUUGAAGAGGGGCCCGCGUCCGAUUAGCUAGUUGGUGGGGUAAUGGCUCACCAAGGCAACGAUCGGUAGCCGGCCUGAGAGGGCGGGCGGCCACACUGGGACUGAGACACGGCCCAGACUCNUACGGGAGGCAGCAGUGGGGAAUUGUUCGCAAUGGGCGCAAGCCUGANGACGCAACGCCGCGUGGAGGAUGAAGACCUUCGGGUCGUAAACUCCUUUCGAUCGAGAAGAAUUNCNUCCGGGGUGAAUAAUCGUCGAGGUUGACGGU